Octopus sinensis (East Asian common octopus) is the source of this 162-nucleotide long non-coding RNA. RefSeq lists it as uncharacterized. The record is from RefSeq and is a predicted model, not a curated record. The transcript is spliced from 3 exons. NCBI's taxonomy places the organism in Eukaryota, Metazoa, Mollusca, Cephalopoda, Octopoda, Octopodidae.
AGGGUUUGUGGACGGAUGAGUGAAUUUGAUGGGGUACAGAACCAGCAUGAUGUGGCGAGGGUAAACCAGCAGAUACUGUCGGGCCCCGCUGCUGAUAUUGGGGGUUGCGUUCUAUGCCUUGACCCGAGCAUAGAACGGGGCUCAUCUCUUUGAGCUGGGAAA